UUUCCCAGUCACGAUAUGUAGGAGCGGGGCACGAGAAACCCUGUCUGAACAUGGGGGGACCAUCCUCCAAGGCUAAAUACUCGUAAUCGACCGAUAGUGAACCAGUACCGUGAGGGAAAGGCGAAAAGAACCCCGGGAGGGGAGUGAAAUAGAUCCUGAAACCGUAUGCAUACAAACAGUGGGAGCGGACUUGUUCCGUGACUGCGUACCUUUUGUAUAAUGGGUCAGCGACUUACAUUCAGUAGCAAGCUUAACCGAUAGGGGAGGCGUAGCGAAAGCGAGUCCGAAUAGGGCGUUCAGUUGCUGGGUGUAGACCCGAAACCAAGUGAUCUAUCCAUGGCCAGGAUGAAGGUGCCGUAACAGGUACUGGAGGUCCGAACCCACAAAUGUUGAAAAAUUUGGGGAUGAGCUGUGGAUAGGGGUGAAAGGCUAAACAAACUUGGAAAUAGCUGGUUCUCUCCGAAAACUAUUUAGGUAGUGCCUCGUAUAUCACUCUUGGGGGUAGAGCACUGUUAUGGCUAGGGGGUUCACAAGAACUUACCAAACCAUUGCAAACUCCGAAUACUGAGAAGUGCAAUUACGGGAGACAGUCCAUGGGUGCUAACGUCCGUGGACAAGAGGGAAACAACCCAGACCGCCAGCUAAGGUCCCAAAUGACGUGCUAAGUGGAAAACGAAGUGGGAAGGCAUAGACAGCUAGGAGGUUGGCUUAGAAGCAGCCACCCUUUAAAGAAAGCGUAAUAGCUCACUAGUCGAGUCGUCCUGCGCGGAAGAUGUAACGGGGCUAAGCACGUAACCGAAGCUGCGGACGCAUUUAAUGCGUGGUAGGAGAGCGUUCUGUAGGUCUGUGAAGGUGUUCUGUGAGGAAUGCUGGAGAUAUCAGAAGUGCGAAUGCUGACAUGAGUAGCGAUAAAGGGGGUGAAAAGCCCCCUCGCCGAAAGCCCAAGGUUUCCUGCGCAACGUUCAUCGGCGCAGGGUGAGUCGGCCCCUAAGGUGAGGCAGAGAUGCGUAGCUGAUGGGAAACAGGUUAAUAUUCCUGUACUUUAAUAUGAUGCGAUGUGGGGACGGAGAAGGUUAGGUCAUCCAACUGUUGGAAUAGUUGGUUCAAGCGUGUAGGGAGAUCUCUUAGGCAAAUCCGGGAGGUCAAUUCUGAGACGUGAUGACGAGGCACUUCGGUGCUGAAGUGAUUGAUACCAUGCUUCCAAGAAAAGCCACUAAGCUUCAGUCAUAUUAGAACCGUACCGCAAACCGACACAGGUGGGCAGGAUGAGAAUUCUAAGGCGCUUGAGAGAACCCGGGAGAAGGAACUCGGCAAAUUUGCACCGUAACUUCGGGAGAAGGUGCGCCCCGGUAGGUUGUAGAGAUUUACUCUCGAAGGCCGAUGGGGUUGCAGUGAAAAGGUGGCUGCGACUGUUUAAUAAAAACACAGCACUCUGCAAACACGAAAGUGGACGUAUAGGGUGUGACGCCUGCCCGGUGCCGGAAGGUUAAUUGAUGGGGUGCAAGCUCUUGAUCGAAGCCCCGGUAAACGGCGGCCGUAACUAUAACGGUCCUAAGGUAGCGAAAUUCCUUGUCGGGUAAGUUCCGACCCGCACGAAUGGCGUAACGAUGGCCACACUGUCUCCUCUCGGGACUCAGCGAAGUUGAAAUGUUUGUGAAGAUGCAAUCUACCCGCGGCUAGACGGAAAGACCCCGUGCACCUUUACUAUAGCUUGACUCUGGACGUAUCGUGACUGGGAA
RNAcentral lists this ribosomal RNA (1739 nucleotides) under freshwater metagenome. RNAcentral describes it as "bacterial LSU rRNA". It matches the Rfam family "Bacterial large subunit ribosomal RNA", at positions 395 to 2138 of the family's 2925-position model. The record is from RNAcentral.